UCCGCAGGCGGUCAAUUAAGUCAGAGGUGAAAUCCCAUAGCUUAACUAUGGAACUGCCUUUGAUACUGGUUGACUUGAGUUAUACGGAAGUAGAUAGAAUAAGUAGUGUAGCGGUGAAAUGCAUAGAUAUUACUUAGAAUACCGAUUGCGAAGGCAGUCUACUACGUAUAUACUGACGCUCAUGGACGAAAGCGUGGGGAGCGAACA
This 207-nucleotide ribosomal RNA is filed under the name uncultured bacterium. RNAcentral's name for it is "partial 16S ribosomal RNA". It matches the Rfam family "Bacterial small subunit ribosomal RNA", at positions 568 to 774 of the family's 1533-position model. The record is from RNAcentral.